Molecule: ribosomal RNA, 497 nt
Filed under: uncultured bacterium
Lineage: Bacteria
Description: bacterial SSU rRNA
Rfam family: Bacterial small subunit ribosomal RNA
Source: RNAcentral
AUCCUGGCUCAGAUUGAACGCUGGCGGCAGGCCUAACACAUGCAAGUCGAGCGGUAGAGAGAAGCUUGCUUCUCUUGAGAGCGGCGGACGGGUGAGUAAUGCCUAGGAAUCUGCCUGGUAGUGGGGGAUAACGUUCGGAAACGGACGCUAAUACCGCAUACGUCCUACGGGAGAAAGCAGGGGACCUUCGGGCCUUGCGCUAUCAGAUGAGCCUAGGUCGGAUUAGCUAGUUGGUGGGGUAAAGGCUCACCAAGGCGACGAUCCGUAACUGGGUCUGAGAGGAUGAUCAGUCACACUGGAACUGAGACACGGUCCAGACUCCUACGGGAGGCAGCAGUGGGGAAUAUUGGACAAUGGGCGAAAGCCUGAUCCAGCCAUGCCGCGUGUGUGAAGAAGGUCUUCGGAUUGUAAAGCACUUUAAGUUGGGAGGAAGGGCAGUAACUUAAUACGUUGCUGUUUUGACGUUACCGACAGAAUAAGCACCGGCUAACUCUGUG